RNAcentral lists this ribosomal RNA (448 nucleotides) under uncultured bacterium. RNAcentral's name for it is "bacterial SSU rRNA". It matches the Rfam family "Bacterial small subunit ribosomal RNA", at positions 355 to 796 of the family's 1533-position model. The record is from RNAcentral.
UCGAGAAUUUUUCACAAUGGGGGAAACCCUGAUGGAGCGACGCCGCGUGGGGGAUGAAUGGCUUCGGCCCGUAAACCCCUGUCAUUCGCGAACAAAUUGGUUCACUUAAUACCUGAACCAUUGAUAGUAGCGGAAGAGGAAGGGACGGCUAACUCUGUGCCAGCAGCCGCGGUAAUACAGAGGUCCCAAGCGUUGUUCGGAUUCACUGGGCGUAAAGGGUGCGUAGGCGGUUUGAUAAGUCUGAUGUGAAAUCCCGCAGCUUAACUACGGAACUGCAUUGGAAACUAUUUGACUAGAGGAAUGGAGGGGAGACUGGAAUACUUGGUGUAGCAGUGAAAUGCGUAGAUAUCAAGUGGAACACCAGUGGCGAAGGCGAGUCUCUGGACAUUUCCUGACGCUGAGGCACGAAAGCCAGGGGAGCAAACGGGAUUAGAUACCCCUGUAGUCC